This 255-nucleotide ribosomal RNA is filed under the name uncultured bacterium. RNAcentral describes it as "partial 16S ribosomal RNA". It matches the Rfam family "Bacterial small subunit ribosomal RNA", at positions 524 to 776 of the family's 1533-position model. The record is from RNAcentral.
UACGUAGGGUGCAAGCGUUGUCCGGAAUUAUUGGGCGUAAAGAGCUCGUAGGCGGUCUGUUACGUCGGCUGUGAAAACCUGGGGCUCAACCCCGGGCCUGCAGCCGAUACGGGCAGACUAGAAUUCGGUAGGGGAGACUGGAAUUCCUGGUGUAGCGGUGAAAUGCGCAGAGUAUCAGGAGGAACACCGGUGGCGAAGGCGGGUCUCGUGGGCCGAUAUUGACGCUGAGGAGCGAAAGCGUGGGGAGCGAACAGG